CAAGAAAGCAUCCAAGUGUGUUGUGAAUAUAUCCAGAGAAGGGUACUCCACAAUCUCUCUGGGCAGCCUGUUCCAGUGCUCUAUCACCCUCAUAGUAAUGAAAUUUUUCCUCACAUUCUGAUGGAACUUCCUGUGUUCCCAUUUGUGCUCACUGCCCUUUUUCCUAUCACUGGGCACCACCAAAAAGAGUCUGGCCUGAUCCACCUGCCCUUUAGAGUAUAUGUAACUGUUGAUAAGAUUCCUUUCCCAGUCCUUUAUUCUCCAGGCCAAACAGCCCCAGUAUGGGAGAUGCUCCAGGCACUUAAUCAUCUCUGUGGCCCUCCGCUGAACUCUCCUCAGUAGUUCUCUGUCUUUCUUGAACUGAAGAACCGAGAACUGGAAACAAUACAAUUAUCUCUGAAAUUCUGUUCAUGAAAAUCAUUAAGCUAAGUCGUUAUGAAAGCAAUGAUCAUCCUCCAAAAAUGGGUCAUUCUUGAUCAGUAAAUGAAUAGAGCCCCAAAAGAACAUUUUUGUUCUUCUUCUACAACUGUACUUUUUUAGAGAUGUGUCCAGAGUGUGUUGGUAUUGGGUGUGUGCAUGUUGUGCAAGAAUUAAGCGAUGAUGUUCAAUUACAAAUGCAACAUCGACAAACUCUAGAACAUAAACUUGCUCAGACUGCUAGGCUCAACAUGAGUAUUGAUAAUAAGAAUAAAAAUAUCCUGUAGGAAAACAGUAGAAUUGCACUGUAGACUUAAAUUUCUGGAAAUGUAGCAGAUAGCCUGAACGGUUUUGAGACAGGCUUGUAUGUGUUCCAUGGGCCAGUGAGAAAGAGUGCUAUCAGAAGUUGGCUUUAUUUUUAUUUCUGGUUCAGAGCCCCUCGGAGUAGUUUUCAGGUCAUCUAAUUUCAGGAAGAAGAGGGAAGGUAUGAAAUGCAGUCAGAGAACUCUGAAUAUUACAUGGAAAGAGGGUGCUGAAAAUCUGUUAAAAGCGGGGACUGGGAACCAGGCCAAAAUUUUUUUGGAGAUUAUUGCAGGAUGAGAACAAGCCCUGAUAAAGUAACAAAAGGCUGGCCAGUCAGUCAAGCUCAGGUGGAAAGUGUAGAAAGCAGAUUAUCUUCUCACAUUCUGGAGAUGUAAGUGCCAGAAGAGUGUUCAGCGCAUUGGUCCAUAGGAUGACAAGAGCAGUUAGUGUAGGAAAGAUGACAGGAUCCCAAGUGAAGCAAGACUUUGAGAUCUGUCUGUACCCUUGUUUAAAGCAAACAUACCAAAAAGAAAAAAGGAGAAAAAAAAAUUCAAAAAAUAACCUUCACGACAAUUAUGAAAAUUUCAAGUUAAACAUAAAUAUAUCAUAGAAUCAUAGAAUCAUCAAAGUUGGAAAAAACCUCCAAGAUCAUCCAGUCCAACUGUCCACCUACCACCAGUAUUUCCCCACUGAACCAUGUCCCUUACUACCACAUCUAAAUAUUGAGAUAUUUGAUGCCUGAUGAAGCACUGUUCCAGGUUGAUGGCAAAAAUGCACUGAUGUAAAGAGUGAGAAACCACACACUUCAGCUGUAUACAAAAAAUAGAAGCCUGCCUGAACUCCAACAGAGCAUGAACAGUACUUGCUGGAUCUCCUGUGAAGGAUAAGAUCUAGUAAAGUGGACUGAAUUUGUCAGAGUAGCAUGGUCAUUAGAGGACAAUAUUAGUCCUUAGCAAUCCUAGAUGGAAUCUUUGCUAUUCUAAGAAAAGUAAGUUUAAAUUGACAUUUAAGAGUCAUUUCAAGGAUUGGGAUAUAUAAUAGAUGAUUGAUAUUAGCCCCAAAUAAACAACAAACAUCAAGUAAAUAGUUAAGGCAUUUGCAUGUGCCAAAGAUUGUAAGAAGUCUCGAAGGAGACCAUGUCAGUAACAUAGAAAAAAUCAGCUCCCUGGAAUAAGUACAAAUAAGUUUAGGCUAGGGACAAAAACAGAUAUUUGCCUUAAUCUCAGAUGGUAAGAGUAAUUUGUGAAUUAUUUAAUCAAGUCCAAUUUUGCUACAUGAGAUAUAUUCUAAAUGAGUGCCUGGCAACUGGCAAUAGUUUAGUGAAAACCUGAGGAGUUUUUGUGUUUUUUUUCUAUGGAGUGAUUAUGGAGUCACUGAGAUCACAUUCCUUGGGAUCCUCAGGGACUCCAGCAAGGGAGACAGAUCAGGAGAAAACACAAGAAGCUGAGUCCAGGAGCUUCUUUUAAUUAACAUUGCAGUCCAGCAGGAAGCAGUGGUGAGGAGUAGCUGUGCUGUAUCUUGAACAAUAUACUUUCUUCUCCGUUCUAAUUUUUGUUAUUCACAAAGUGUAUUGCUUUGUCUUCUAACCUCCUCUCAUUGCUUCAUGUCUUUUAGCGCUCUCAGUUCCCUGUCCCCUUCCCUGGGGUUACCCUUCUCCCAUGUGGCCUCAAUCCCACCUCCCUUCUCCCUCCUUUCCCAUACUAUCUUCAGUUCAGGUAUUGGUCAUUGCCCCAAAGCCUUCAGCUUUGAAUUAUGGUAGUAGCUCAGCAUUCCUGGGCUUUGCCAUGGUGACUUUUUAACCCCACAAACUCCUUUCAAAUAGGACAGAGAAGGGGGAUAUACUAUUUAGGCCAUUGUUCUUCUUUUCUUUCUGGGAAGAAAAAUUGUGCAUUUACCCAUAAUGGUGUGUAAAGUUCUUGGAUAGAGUGCAAAAUCAAACAGCUUAAUGAUUUCUUUGGCUAAAUAAGUCUUGGAUCAUUUUUCUGGAUAUGACCAGUUGAUUCAUUGCACAUCCCUCUGUCCAAAUGGAAAAGAGCUCAUUCUCUGGACAGAUUUGCAGCUGAUUUAAAUUGUCAGAGUGCUGUUUUAUUCAACUGAGUUUUGAACAGGGUCUAGCUAUAUAUCUAGAACAUAAUAUCUCUAUAUCCUGUUUCCUGCUAUCAACACAUAUCUGUGUAAAUGUAAACAUUUAAUCACAUAUUUUCCAAUUAGCAGACUUAGUAUGAUUAAGAAGGUCAUCGUUAAUUUUGUUGUUUUUAUUCUGGUUAUUUUGAUAGUUCCUUAUCAAAAGAGUAUAACAUUUUAAAAAAUUAAUUUAAAUCUUAUUUAGGAAUAAUAUUUAAAGCUCAUAUACUUAAUUAAUACAAAGCCCUAUAGAAAUUCAGUUCUCAGAAUUUUGUAACAAGCGGUCUCUGAAACUAGGGCGGAAAAAAAAAAAGGAAUGUAAUUUUAUCAUGUUGAAAUAAACUCAAUGCUCAAACAAUUUGCUUAGCCAAAAUCUAGAUAAUGUGUUACAUGGGGCUGCAGGAGAGGGUGGUGCCAUUAGUGUAACUGCUUGCUGGAACAUCCAAACUUCAAAGUAUCGUGCAGUUUCCUCUUCCUUCUCAGGGAGGUGCUGGUGCCUCAGAGAAGUACUGGACAAAAUUACACUGUAUAUUGUCAAGAGGUCAUUCUAUCCCUGUAAUUUAUGCGUGAUACCUUUCAUUCCUUUUAAAUACACAGCAACCCUUACUGUUCCAUCAGAAUAGGAUCUGCUUUUCGUAACAGAGGUUUAUGCAUUUCCAAUGCUUCUUUUCUAUUUCAGUCCACAGUAGCUCCUUCACAGCUUCAAAAUCAGUAGUUGAUUUAAUGGUAAGAUGCCAGUUGCUGAGGAAGAAGGGGGUCACUAGGCUUAGGCAACCUUUUAAAUGACAGAGACAGUUCUCAGUAUGUAUGUUCUCAAUAUGUAUUUUUAGAGCUUGUGAUUAGCUGCAGAUAAUUUUGUAUAUCCAAGAGGAUGGGUUCUAAACUGUAGCAAGUGAAAACUAAAAUCCUUGGAACAGCAUCUCCUUGUACUUGUUGCUACAGAUGAUUAUAGGCUGUCUUGCAUCUUCAGUGAAAUUUGAGCAUGUUUCAUGGCCAUAGAAGCUAGACAGGGAGAAUAAAGAAUAGAAAAUCCUGUUUUACUGACCGCAGCUCAGUUUUUUGUUUUGCUGCAGAAUGGUCCACACAAAAUAAAAGCAGUGUUUAUCUUUUCAGAUGCAAAACAUUAUCGUUAUUUUGCCAUGAGAGUCAAUAUGCCCUGGAGAGAAAUGAAGCAAAAGCUGUCAGCCUGCCUUCUUUCCCAUUUACCAUGGGAAAGCCAUUGUUAACAAUCUGGUUUUUCUGCUUUCCAAUCAGGGAAUGAAAGCAUAUACCCUCACAUUCAUCUCUGGUGAACAUAACACAGCUAAGGUCCCCUUUAUAACCAUGCCUGACCUAUAAGAAAAGCCACAGAAUAGACACACAGAUUUUGUUGUACAUGUCACUACCUUGCUUAAGGGUCAUUACACAUGCUGGCACCAGCUUCUUGGCUUUCUAGUCUCGGAGAGCUGUGGUGGCCAUCUGUAAGAUCUGAAAUUUGCAGCUGGAUUCAAUCAGAUACUAUUGGAAUGAAUCUUGGAAAGAAAGUGGCUAAUGCCAAGCUGUCUGUCACUGUCAAUUUAGCUCAGCUUUAAACUUACAGAUAUAAAUUUCCAUGAACUGUUGGGAAACAAUAAUAAAAUCAAACAUCUUAUUAAGCAAUGCAUGUUUCAUCCUAAUGAAUGUAUCGCAUAUGAGAUUAAGGAUGAAGCAUAAUUAGUUACAUGCCUGACAGCACAGAGAUUGCCUGGGCCACACUGGCCUGUCCUUCCACUGUAACUCUUAGAAGUGUUUGCUUUUACAUAAAAAGGGCGAGGUCAUCAGGAGCUUGUCCAAACAAAAUUGGCCAAAUAAAUUGAAUUAUAACAGUGGUGUCAUGCAGAUAGCAACUCACUGUAAACUGCCCUUAUGUAAGGCCAUUAGACAUGAGAAAGUUUCUAAUUAGUUCUGCAAGGCAGAUAGGGGAAGUGUAGUCAUAAUCAAAUGCCUUCAGACAAUUCAGGCUUAAAUCACUUCUUGUCUUUCUGGAAAAAAAGAUGAGAUAUAGAUAAUAAGUUUUAUAAGUAAUCUUGCUCAAGACCAAUGAAAUAGGAAGCUGUUAAAUAUUUGCAAGAAUGUAGCCAAUCCUAAAUCAUUCAAUACUAAUGACGCUUUUAUCUAUUGACUUCAUAGCCUUACAUUUAGACAUAACAAGGUUUUGUGGCUUCCUGAUGUCUUUCUUAUGGUUAAAGCAGAAAGAAUCAAUUCUAAUUUAAAACUAUAAUGUAGUAAAUGUCAUCAAAACAAAAAAAAAUGAAUAGGAUGGAUUUGCUUAAUAUAAAAACUGGUGUACCUUUUAAGUUGCAAACCCUACUUCAAAUAGAGGAAAAAACUGAAGAUUAACACACAUUUACUUUUAAUGGGUGCUUAUAUAAAAUAGCAUAGUUUUUAAGAGCUCUUACUAUCAAAACUGAAUUAGCAUGCUUCAACUAUAGUGAUGUUGCAUAUAAUUCAGAAAUGUAUCAUUAUAUUUAUUUUUCCCAUUACUGAAGCAUCCUAUACUCAUUUUGUAACCGUCACAAAACACUUCCUUUGUUAAUGUUGCAAUUUCAAACAAAGCCAAAAGUCAAAAAAAAAAAAAAAUGUUGCUGUUCUAGGAGCAACUUCAGCUUGUACUGCCCUCUGCCUUGUUGUUCAUCUUGUUUCAAAAUGUGCAGGUUGAGGUACAGUUCUGACUUUUUCUGUUGUUUCAUUUUAUAGCAAAGUUCAAAUGAAAAAGGAUUUUAAAACCAUUUUGAUAUAUAUAUGUGAUCACUCCUUAAGUAUGUUGUCAGUGGAAAUUGUUUCUAACAGAAACCAAACCUGGCAUUAGCAACAGUAAAAUUUGCAGUACAGGCUCUGAGUCUGACAAAUGCAACAAAGAAAUGUUUUGUUAUUCUCCAGGUUCCUUAUGACAGCCUUCAUAUCUCUGGAGCUCUGGUUUUAACAAGCAGUCGGACGACCCUUCCCAACACACCUGUGACAUGUGCAAGGUCUGAUCUUCAGUUUAAUGAAGGAGUUUACUGGGGCUUUAAUAUAUUCUGUUAGCUCAUGCAAAAGGUCAGUAGAUCACAGAUAUCAGGUGUAGAUGACACAUAAAAGUAGCUUUAAUAUCUCAAAGCUGAUGGAAGAAGGUAGUUGGGUUGUCUGCACAUUUGCCCCAACAGCACAGUUUUAAAUAAGCCUGCCUGGUUUGUAAAUAAUGGAAAGCACUCAUUACUCAAGAUACCAUCAGCUGCACCAUGCAGUGAAAGCUGGUGAAGAAAAGACAUACAUAGCUCUGAUUAGCAUUUCUUCUCCACACAUGACAAAAUGAAGCCUCACCAGGCACAGAGCUGGCCUUUCUGUUUGUAGUCCAGGGGUGAACAUUUAGGUACUGCUUGUGUUAAAUUAACGCUAGCAGGAAAGACAGUUAUCUUGUGUAGCUGUACUUAUGCAUUUAAAACCAUGCAUCAACUAAAACAAAAAUACACUUCUCUUGUGGAUCAGGGAAGAUUUUUGUUUGGAUCUCAGUAUCAACACUUAGGAUGGCAUUUCUCAGCAGUUACUACAUAACUGAGAUAAAUAUCAUGUAAAAUGAGUUUGUUGAAGGCUGAGACAUAUGAGCACAUUUUAUUUGUUUCUGUUGUAAGACUUUUCAGGAGCAACAUCACCACAAAUGAGCAUGGCACAUAUCUUCUGUCCAUCUUUCCUGGGGUCUCCUUACUGAUGACAGAGCAGAAGUAACAGAAUGAGAACAGAGGAAACUUCAGCAGCUUGCUGUCAUGAUAAUAUUGACUGGGUGACUGUCUGAGAGUACUGAAAACUAAGAACUUAGAGAAGUCUUGGAAAGACUUGGAAAAGACAGUAUUUGUGUUACUAUAGCAUUCUGUGCCAUAACAUUUGUACUGGAAACCCCUGUAGUAUGUCUGGAUUUUGAACUAAGGUCUUCCAUGCUUUGGCAGAAAGAUAUGCCUUGUGGCCAUAAAGCUAGCGCAGUUUAUUUUCUAGGCUACAUGGCACUAUGAGUGUGUGAUGGAGCUGGAAUCCUGUCACACAGAUGAAGGAUGAAAGCAGUGCAGCUGAGGAGUGACUCCAGGAAAGACAGGCUAAGGAUCAAGCUGGAGGAGAGAAAAGUCUGCAGGCAUCCUGAGGCAGGAUGCAGACAGAGAAUCUUCUAUUUCAAAGCACUGGAAGACAUGAAAGAGACAGAGAGCAGAAUGUGGACUCUCAGAUGGUCCCAACAGGUGCAAUGAAGUUUGCAUGGGUGAGGAGCAGCAGCAACUUGCCAUAUUUGUUGGUGUCCAAGAAGAUUACCAUGGACCAACCCAUAGCUGCCUCAUUGUAUGACUGAACUGAUCUUGGAUCUGGGAAUUUGGUUCCCCAAGAUGAGAUAUUCACCUGGAAGACCUGGAAGACCAGUUUCGUCAUCCUGAGCUUCUAUAUUUAACUCAGCCAACAUAACUUCAUGCAGAUCCAUCAAAAAAGGGCUUUGGGAAUAGCCAAAAUAUGCAAACAAGAGGAAAAUGAAACAGACCAAAACACUCAGUUUUCUUCGCCGGAUGGGCAGAAAGGAUGUUCAUCCUCAUCGCUAUACCUUUACCUCUCUCCAUGGAAGGGCUGGGAAAACCGCAAAGGCAACAAGGCAAGUGCUACACAGUCACCAUAAAAUGCUCUAUCAAAUGGCAUGCUGCUGAUAUGAAGAACACACAAUUCAUCAAAAGGACAGUUUUAUUUUUCACAAAGUAAUAAUUUGCUCUUUGUUGCACCAUAUCAAAGUAUAGCAUUUCUCACUGAUGCUAUUUUAUUUUACUGUGUAUCAUUAAAGUAGUCCCAAACCAAUAACUAUCUACUGUAGUUUUAUAUGGAAUGCUCCCAGGGCCUUUGAAGUUUCUUCUGUGCUUGGAAAGCAAAUGCUGCUAAUCCCACCAUCCUGUCCUCCGCAGCAGGAUAAAGCCUGGCCUUUGAGGUGAGGUAGGAUUUGUUUAUAGCUCCUGGAUUGUUCAGCAUCCCCAAAGAGCUUGAGGGGUACCAGCCUACAAGAAGUUCAUGACAAAAGUAACACAGAACAGGGGCAAUUUUGUACAGUCUCAGCGUAUGAUGGUGCAUUCUUUUUUCCCUGGUGUAGCCAAAGCAUUUUUAUCUUUAGUAUUGCCUGCAAAGGUGAAGGGACCAUCUUCCCUGAAAAAGAGUGGCUGUCGUUUUGUUUGUUUGUGAGCAACAAGAUGGGAAGUCCGAUCUAAGAAUGGUUGGGAGUGUAGUGUCCUGUCCGUGCACAGAGAGCACAUGUCAGGAGUGACUGGAAAUUCAGGUUCAUAUGGGAAAUGUAUAUGUUUCUGUUAUUGGAGAUAAAACAGAAUUUCAGGAAGCAAAGGAAGAGACAAAGAGGCAGUGAAAUCAAAUACUUUCCAAUGCUGGCAUGCUUGGGGGCAUUUUGCAAUUUGAUCCAUUUCUGAAGAAAUUUUUGCAGAAAUCCCUGUCCUGAUCAGCAGUAUGGUAUCUGCCCCAGCACCUGUAAGUGUAAUGCAAAAUCCAUCACAGAAGAGCACUCCUUUGCAACCUGUAGCAUCAAGUCUGAGCUUUCAGCCUGUUCGUCUCAGAAGCCAUUAUCCCAAAAUAGGCACCUCAGUACACCUCAUUCAACUUCCAAACUUAAUAUUUGGGAGGAAACUGCUUGGUUCAUUCUCUUAAGACAGGAAAAACAUAUUUCCUAACGUUGUUCAGUCUGCCCUGAAAAUAUCCCCAGAAAAGUUGCAUUGUUACAUUUCCUCCUGGACUUCAUGCCAUAGCCAGGCACUUGUAAUGCUGACUCUCUCAGAAGGAAAUGCCAUAGGAAGGGAACAGGUGCAAGACCAGCUGCGCAGUAGGGUUUUGCUUUUACUUCCUUGAAUGAUCCCCACAACGGUGCCACGGGAAAACAAUAACAGUCCAAAAAACUACGUGAUAUUUGAAUUGGAUUAUCAGCAAAUCUAUUAGGCAAAAUCAUUAAUAUUUUAACAAAGUAAUGAAAUGUUCCAUUUGCUUGGUUGUUUCUAUUCAAAGGUAUCUGUGUAAUGUUCCAUUCCUUUGCAUUCUAGUCUAUUCAUGUCACUGACUGAUAGUUUUUAAGCUUCUUGAUAAUUUGUUUACUCUAUGGUAUUUCCUCUUAAUGUGGAAGAGAAAAUAGAAAACUGAUAAGGGAGUUCUUCAAGUAAUCUGUGAUUUAUACUAUGUCCUUUCUUGAUUAUUACUCUGUACAUAACCAUUGUUGCAGCAGGAAAAAAGAAAUACUCUUGCCAGUAAUGAAUUUCAUAGUUAUGUAUAGUUAAACGGAAUCGAGGAUGUCCUUCCUCUAGGAUAUCAUUCAGUCUCUGCACUCCAUGCUAUAAUCUCUUUAGAUCUGUCAACUUAUGGCAAGAGGCAACACCUGGAAAGGAGAUUUAGAGAGAAAACUGCAACAGAAAUAGCAUUGGCAGUUCAAAAUACAUCGAUCACCCUUCCAAGUUAGUGCUAAAACAUUACAUUAAGGGAAACAGUGCUGUUAGAGUGGCUGAGAAUAUCAUCUCUUCCAGAAUCUUUAUGCCAAGUAAAAGGUUGAAGAUUCAUAAGGUAUUCUCAAAGCCUGCUUCCUGUUGAAAGAAAAUUGCCUUGGCAGAGGAUCUCUCUGACAGCUGCAGAAUGCUCUCUGGAGAGCCCCUUCCAGGCUCCAGCACACCAGCUGAGGAUGGAGCCAAGGAUAAAGGCUGGAAGAACAUGCUAGCAACACAGCAUUAGCAUUUUCCCAGUGCAGAUGUUUGUAGUGGCAUGAUGAUCCACCAGCACAGGCUGACACAUGGCCCAAGCUUUGAAACGCUAGGAGUUAUACUGCAGUUGUGAAACAGAUGUAAUCAGGUGGAUGUGAGAACAUUUUAAUAUUAACUUUAGCUACUGCUUUUAUUCUUUUUCUCUUCCAACACUUUGAAUCCAUGGGCUCUGUGCUGUGCAUUCAUGGCCACUCUAUGUAAGAGAAAGCUAGGCAGAGACCUGCAAGAUGAUGAACAGAAAUGGUCAACAUGCAUGGUUGUAAUGCUGCUCGCAUGGCCAGUUUUGGCAUCAUGCUUUUUAAAAGAAGCCAUGUUUGGGAAUUAGCACAAGUACUUCUGUGUUCACUCUGUGUUGCACAGUUGAUACUAGCUGUUUUUGGCUGCUGUUAAUUUAAAGUUCUAUGAGUUCUCUCAGUACGGAUCUAAUUUUCAGCGACUAUUCCCUAUUUCUAUGUGUAAUGUACUAUGCCUAACAUAUCUCACAUCACAAUUCUUGUGCUGUCUGGCUUCAGAUAAUGAAUUACACUUCAGAACCAGUGCAUCAUGACCCUGAAAACUGCCACCAAUCCACAGCAGAUUAGAACAGGCUACUGUAGACUUCUGAUCUCUGUAACACUAUCACAGUGUUUCCAGGAAGAAAUGUAAAAAUGGAUUAUAAAAGAUGCUGGUAGCAUGUAAGCUUAGCACACUCUCCAUCAUAAAUCUGGUCACAUCUGUGGACCAACCUGAAAAAUGUCAGCUUCUUUUAUGCAGGUAUAUGGAGGUCAUGGUCCUUCACUGCAGCAGUGUAAGUAUAAACAAAAUUACUUAGCUGCUGAGAGAACAUAGAAUAAACAUCCCAUGUACCUCUUUCUGGAGCAUGGCAGAGUAAAAGGAAAUAGGAGAAGGUGAAGAAAGAAACCCUUGUGGAAGAACAGAUCAUUCCAAGAAAAAGAAAUCUGCAAGAUAGCUCACAAAUUAGUAUAUAUUUUUGUGUUACUGCAGGAGUUAAGCUGCAACCCACUGAAGUUAGUGUAAGGCUCCCAUUUGUUUCUCUUUAAUCAGAGAUUUCCAAAAGGAAGCACAGUGAUUCUUGUAAUACAUCCUCUCACCACCAAAGUAUUAGUCAUUAUAGGGUUUUGCUCAGUGUGACUUCGAGAGCACUAUGUGAUGUGGUUGCUUCCCUCUGGCUGCAGUGAGGCAGGUAAUGGAGGUUGAGGUACAGGGGUAGGAGGAUUCACAGAAUCACUGGUGCAGUAAAUUGUAAAUUAGGCUUAGAUUAAAUUGCGCUGAAAUGAGUUGUCUGCUUUCCAGAAAAGAUUAUAGAAUUACUAGUUGAAGAAUCAUAAAAUAGGUGAGCUAAUUAUAUGCUCACUUAACUCUUUUCUAAGCAUGAUACAUCAAAAUGAAUUUUGUAUGCUUAUUACAGACAUAGUGUGGCCCUUUGGUUUACAUUACAGGUGAAAUUAUUUUGCAAACAAUUUGAAAUUGUACCUUUUAAAUUCUACUCUCAGUCUAAAUUGUCUGGAUUAUUAAAAUUAUGAGGACUGAAAGCUGGAUCAAAGACUGCAAACAGGGCAUAUUAAUAAAUGGGGCCAAGGUAACAAGUAUGUGAGGAGGUAAUAGAGGGACUAUCCAGAAACAGAAGCAGUUAGUAUCAUGCCUCCAUUAGCAGCUUCAUACACUGUUAGAAACCAGAAGUAAACAGCAUCUUAACAAUGCAGUCCAAAAACUGCACCACAUACACAGAAUUAUUUGCUCUUAGAAGUGAAGAGCAUGCUUUUUGCAGGAACUGUAAUUCCAUUGAUUGCUUGUUAGUUCCCAGAUUGUUGAUAGAAAGUUUAGAAGCUUGUUAUAUUUGAUCUAAGUCCUUACAUUGAUUUAUUCUUUUCAUUUGUUCAGAUUGUUCACAAUACAGACUACAUUCAUCUAAGUGUCUGAAUUGCAUUACUAAGCAUGAUCGUCUCAUAGUUUGUGGGAAAUAACUAUAUUAUGAGAAGCAGAAAUACAUUAAGUUCUACACUAACUCCAAGAAAACCUUGUUUAAAGAAACUUAGCUUUUCCACUUGACAUUUUUUCCAGCAAUGUGAAAUAGUAUACUGAAAUCCUAGUAAAGUCUUGCCAGAGAGAGAGCCUUUGGAUUUCUGCAGUAACAUGGCCUUUCACUGUGCACGCUGUGUCUAUCUCAUUGACAGAUUGAUUGGAUCACGCACCACAUUUUGUUUGAAACCAACACAGAAAUUAAUGGAAGAGCUGGUAGCCUUUUAAUUUCAAGAGGCUGAAUCUUUGAAAUGUCUCUGGAUCACCAUGUGUGUAUCCAUACAGUGUGUAAACAAAGUUUCUUUUUGCAAAGCUCUGUGAAUACAGCUGUUUCUCAUUUUCAUCUUGCGGAAGCUAUCCUGCUUACAGGGCAGCUUUAGUUAAAGAGCUGUGUUUACUCAUAAGGCCAGGAUGUACAAUAUUCAGUUUUGAUUGAAAAGUGAAAAACUUCUUUAUUGUUUACAGGCAAAACACUUCAUAGUAAAAAAAAACAACAACUGUGUUUUACUCAAAGCAGAAAACUAUAGGUUUAGGACUGUCAAAGAUCCCGUUUUCUGAGAAACAAACAUAGUUGUCUGUAAAAGCCCAAAAAUAUGCUUAUUCAUCUUAUUAUUACGGAAAGUCCUGGUGACUCACUGCAUUGGCAAGGGAAGCUGGUUUAGUUUAGAUAUAUCUGUUUGUAAUUGACUUUGCUGUUAAGAUGGCAACAAAACAGAAACAAGAUGGCAGAUUCCCUGUAUGUGAGGAUACCUUCUGCCUCCUGAUGUUCACCUCCUCUUUGGGCUGGGGAGCAAGGAGCGUUCUGCAGUACAUAAUGAAUCCAAAGGGGAGUGUCUGGUGGUCAGCAGAACAAAACAGACCUCGCUGCAGAGUUCAGAAAAUAGAAAAAGUGACUGGCUUCAGGGCUAGUGCAAAGAGUUCCUGUAUCCAACCACAGCCAAAUGAAGGCUCAGGAGUAUUGAGGCAAAGGAAGCAGAGACAUAGAUGUUAGCAUGUUUUUUAUGGAUUUCUCUGUUUGAAUACACACACAGAUAUUCUCCAAGUAACUAACGGAAGACAAAAUUUAUGGAUCUAUUUUGUGUUUGCAGUCACUCAGUGUGUACUUCUAUAAAUAGCAAUGAAUGAGGUCUGAGAGUAGAUUUGCCCAAGUUCCUGAGGAAUCAGAACUAGGCUGGGUAAUGCAAAGCUAGGGUGGGGGAUGCAAUUUCAGUGAUGUCUGCAACUAGAGAAUCUGUUUCUCUCAGUGUUUUUGUGCUCCAGGAAGGGCAGGAGCUGAAACCUUGUAUGAAGAAAGCACUUGGCUGCUGCUCCUGCUUCUAUGCACAGCAGUCACAUGUUCAGCUCUGCUAAGGUUGUGAAAGAGAACAGCAUUUGUCCUAGGAGGGGCUGUUCCACAACUGCUGCAAAGGAGCUGUGAAUUCCCAUUAAUUUGUGUUAAUAUUAGCCAUGAAGAUCCACUACACUUGAAAGGUUCGUCUGCAAAAUAUUAAUCCCAUAAGUAUCAGUUCUUCUUGUGAAAGAAGAAAUCCAUGGAACUAUUUUGAAGGCAUAGUUACAAAGAACAAUUGUGUUGAAAUACCAUCAGUUUUGGAGGUCACCAUCCAAUCUGAAAAUGUGCCUAUAUUUUCGUUUCUAAAAGGCCACACCAGGAAGCAGGUGAUAUGAGAGGGAAUAUACAUACCAGAGGAAAGGCCUGGAACUAAGUGAUCUUUAAGAUCCACUCCAACCCAAGCCAUUCUGUGAGAGUGAAGCGUCAAUUUAGUAAUGUCUCAUGCAGAUAAGGAAAUGCUGUCCUUCUAGACACACAAUCCGUCUGCAGUAUAAACAUUUCUCUUCGCCUGGGGACUGUAUUUUUCUUUCUUUUAGCAUUAUUGCUUCUGUGGGACCAUAAUUUAUUAAUAAAAGCUUUGUCAUGCUUUUCCAUCAAGAAAUGAUCUUUUCUGAAAAGGAGUUUAUUACAAUGAAUUUAUUUUCCUCUGAAAUAUAAUUAAUCUUCUAAAAGGCCAAAUUCCUUUUUGCAAAAAGCUUGAUUUUUAGUCCAUAUUGUAGUCUCUUGAUGUCAAUGAAAUUAGCAGGUCAGGCAGUCUGGGCAAUUGAUUCCAUUUAUGUUUCCGUUCCAUUCUGUGAGUGAUAUUAUCUAACUACUGGAUAAAAUUAGCUUUUGAAAACCUUAUUGGUGUUUCCAUUUUAUGUUAGUAAAAUUUGAAGACUCUUAAGAAUGUUUAACAAAAUAAAUUAAAAACUACUAUUUAACCAUUAAAAUAACUUCUUGGAUUUAUUGAGUAAAACAAGGAAAGUGUGUGAGGAAAUUGUGAGGAGUAAAAUCUCAUCAAAAUGUUUAUCUGAAAAUAAAGUGGAGCAUUUGCAGGUUAGAUCCUAGCCCACGAAAAUCUGUCCUAAAUACUCUUAUUAUUUGAAAAGAUCAUACAUAUGGUGUUUUUCACAAAGUUACUGGGUGUCAUUGAGGCUGGACUUCCUACUUAUGGCCCUUUUUGUGAGCUUCUCAUUUUUUGAAGUCUUAAAAUUAAGGUCUUGAUGGAAAUGGGUUAGGUAGUCUAUUUUAUCUCCUGAGGGACAUUUAUACAGAGUUUUACAGACAGGAUUUUAUUUUAUAUUUAUUUAAGCUAACUCUGUAUGAAGAAAUUGUAUGAAUUACACUGCCUGCAGUUUGGACAGACCCAGUGUUGAGUAUUAUUCAAAUAAGCAAUAUUCAUCUAUAAAUCCUUUAUCCUUAAGAGUUUAGGCUUCUUUUGAUUAGGUAAGGCUAAAUAUAGGGAUAUCAUACAGUCAGCUCUAGCAGCUACACCAUAGUUACCGAUUCUGAGAUAUCUGAUAUAUCGUGAAAAAUUUGACAUUGCCUAGCCCUUGCCUGGCCAAAAUCCCCAUUUUCUUUUGUGUCAUACCUGUGCAGUAUGGUGUCUGUGGAGCACCUUGCAACCUGUUCUGGGGCUUCCACUCACUCCUGAAAUUGCAUUGCUGGCGUGUUGCAUGAAAUUGAAUGGAAAUUGGAUUUCAUCUUGAACCACAGGGAAAUCUGUCAUGGUAGUGCACCCUUCUCACAGAUCUGUGCUUUGUAAACUUCAGGGAGCCCUGACUGUGCGGGGUGGUGGGAAUGCACUCUGGGGACAACUGAUUAUUUAUUGAAACCCACACUAAAAAGUAUACCCCCCUAUUAUCGAGGGCGCUGACCAGUGGGUGUCACCGUACCAGGGUGCUUCUGCUUGUGAUUGUAAAGAUAAGCAGAAGCAGGACAAGCUGUCUUUUCCAGGGGUGUGGCUUGAAGGAGCUGACCACUGGAAAAGGUGAUAAUGCUUGUGCAUGGCAAUGAAGGCCCCACUCCCUGCUGGCUUAUCUGUUGGGCCAGGUGUGUCACACUAACGGAGAGAAAAGAAGAGAAAGAAAAAAACUGUGAAAUGGGGGAUAAAAGGUCCCCACUAAACUCAGAACUUUGGAGAAGAACUCCCAAAGAAAAGAAACCUCUGAUGGAGGAAUUCCUUAAGAGAAAGAAGCCUGUUAGGAAAGAACCCCCUGGGGCCUACUUGCUGCAAAGCUUCCUGGCUUUCUCCCAUCCCCUGUGGUGACUGGACGAGUUCCUGAGAUCAACGGAGGCACUACGAACAACGAACAACGCUGGACCCACAGUGGUGACUCUCUCUCUCUUGCUUUCUACAAGGACUCUCUGCUUUUUCCUACCCCUUUUGUAUCGCCCGCCUUCCCUUCCCCAUCUCCCUAAACAAGUAGGAUUUGUAAUAAACU
Molecule: long non-coding RNA, 15374 nt
Organism: Numida meleagris (helmeted guineafowl)
Lineage: Eukaryota; Metazoa; Chordata; Aves; Galliformes; Numididae
Exons: 5
Source: RefSeq, a predicted model, not a curated record